UGGCUCAGGACGAACGCUGGCGGCGUGCCUAAUACAUGCAAGUAGAACGCUGAAGAGAGGAGCUUGCUCUUCUUGGAUGAGUUGCGAACGGGUGAGUAACGCGUAGGUAACCUGCCUUGUAGCGGGGGAUAACUAUUGGAAACGAUAGCUAAUACCGCAUAACAAUGGAUGACACAUGUCAUUUAUUUGAAAGGGGCAAUUGCUCCACUACAAGAUGGACCUGCGUUGUAUUAGCUAGUAGGUGAGGUAAUGGCUCACCUAGGCGACGAUACAUAGCCGACCUGAGAGGGUGAUCGGCCACACUGGGACUGAGACACGGUCCAGACUCCUACGGGAGGCAGCAGUAGGGAAUCUUCGGCAAUGGGGGCAACCCUGACCGAGCAACGCCGCGUGAGUGAAGAAGGUUUUCGGAUCGUAAAGCUCUGUUGUAAGUCAAGAACGGGUGUGAGAGUGGAAAGUUCACACUGUGACGGUAGCUUACCAGAAAGGGACGGCUAACUACGUGCCAGCAGCCGCGGUAAUACGUAGGUCCCGAGCGUUGUCCGGAUUUAUUGGGCGUAAAGCGAGCGCAGGCGGUUUGAUAAGUCUGAAGUUAAAGGCUGUGGCUCAACCAUAGUUCGCUUUGGAAACUGUCAAACUUGAGUGCAGAAGGGGAGAGUGGAAUUCCAUGUGUAGCGGUGAAAUGCGUAGAUAUAUGGAGGAACACCGGUGGCGAAAGCGGCUCUCUGGUCUGUAACUGACGCUGAGGCUCGAAAGCGUGGGGAGCGAACAGGAUUAGAUACCCUGGUAGUCCACGCCGUAAACGAUGAGUGCUAGGUGUUGGAUCCUUUCCGGGAUUCAGUGCCGCAGCUAACGCAUUAAGCACUCCGCCUGGGGAGUACGACCGCAAGGUUGAAACUCAAAGGAAUUGA
RNAcentral lists this ribosomal RNA (911 nucleotides) under uncultured bacterium. RNAcentral's name for it is "bacterial SSU rRNA". It matches the Rfam family "Bacterial small subunit ribosomal RNA", at positions 20 to 913 of the family's 1533-position model. The record is from RNAcentral.